UUUUACUAACAAGAACUCAGAAGGAAUUUCAUCAGCCAACAGGUUGUCCAAAUGAGUGCUUUUACAUAGAUCCUGUAUCUAAAAGCUAUCACCAAAUUCCCCCAUGGGCUUUUGAAGAGGAAAAGAGGAAGCGAUAUCCGACCCGGGGGACUGGGCAGCCACCCAGAACAAACAACAACAGAUGACCAGGCAAAGGAAGGGAAGCAGAAAUUCUGAGGCCAAAGAGAUAUCAGGAAGACUGGCAAAGUAAGG
This is a non-coding RNA of Meleagris gallopavo (turkey), 252 nucleotides long. Lineage: Eukaryota; Metazoa; Chordata; Aves; Galliformes; Phasianidae. The record is from RefSeq and is a predicted model, not a curated record.